This 497-nucleotide ribosomal RNA is filed under the name uncultured bacterium. RNAcentral describes it as "partial 16S ribosomal RNA". It matches the Rfam family "Bacterial small subunit ribosomal RNA", at positions 28 to 507 of the family's 1533-position model. The record is from RNAcentral.
GAUGAACGCUGGCGGCGUGCCUAAUACAUGCAAGUCGAGCGAACAGACGAGGAGCUUGCUCCUCUGACGUUAGCGGCGGACGGGUGAGUAACACGUGGAUAACCUACCUAUAAGACUGGGAUAACUUCGGGAAACCGGAGCUAAUACCGGAUAAUAUAUUGAACCGCAUGGUUCAAUAGUGAAAGACGGUUUUGCUGUCACUUAUAGAUGGAUCCGCGCCGCAUUAGCUAGUUGGUAAGGUAACGGCUUACCAAGGCAACGAUGCGUAGCCGACCUGAGAGGGUGAGCGGCCACACUGGAACUGAGACACGGUCCAGACUCCUACGGGAGGCAGCAGUAGGGAAUCUUCCGCAAUGGGCGAAAGCCUGAUGGAGCAACGCCGCGUGAGUGAUGAAGGUCUUCGGAUCGUAAAACUCUGUUAUUAGGGAAGAACAAAUGUGUAAGUAACUAUGCACGUCUUGACGGUACCUAAUCAGAAAGCCACGGCUAACUACGUG